RNAcentral lists this transfer RNA (72 nucleotides) under Camelus bactrianus (Bactrian camel). It matches the Rfam family "tRNA". From Rfam's summary of the family: Transfer RNA (tRNA) molecules are approximately 80 nucleotides in length. Their secondary structure includes four short double-helical elements and three loops (D, anti-codon, and T loops). Further hydrogen bonds mediate the characteristic L-shaped molecular structure. tRNAs have two regions of fundamental functional importance: the anti-codon, which is responsible for specific mRNA codon recognition, and the 3' end, to which the tRNAs corresponding amino acid is attached (by aminoacyl-tRNA synthetases). tRNAs cope with the degeneracy of the genetic code in two manners: having more than one tRNA (with a specific anti-codon) for a particular amino acid; and 'wobble' base-pairing, i.e. permitting non-standard base-pairing at the 3rd anti-codon position. The record is from Rfam by way of RNAcentral. RNAcentral also lists the same sequence under 3 other names. Lineage: Eukaryota; Metazoa; Chordata; Mammalia; Artiodactyla; Camelidae.
GAGGGUAUAGCUCAGUGGUAGAGCAUGUACUUAGCAUGCAUGAGGUCAUUGGUUCAAUCCCCAGUACCUCUG